This 497-nucleotide ribosomal RNA is filed under the name uncultured bacterium. RNAcentral's name for it is "partial 16S ribosomal RNA". It matches the Rfam family "Bacterial small subunit ribosomal RNA", at positions 28 to 507 of the family's 1533-position model. The record is from RNAcentral.
GAUGAACGCUGGCGGCGUGCCUAAUACAUGCAAGUCGAGCGAACAGAUGAGGAGCUUGCUCCUCUGACGUUAGUGGCGGACGGGUGAGUAACACGUGGAUAACCUACCUAUAAGACUGGGAUAACUUCGGGAAACCGGAGCUAAUACCGGAUAAUAUAUUGAACCGCAUGGUUCAAUAGUGAAAGACGGUUUUACUGUCACUUAUAGAUGGAUCCGCGCCGCAUUAGCUAGUUGGUAAGGUAACGGCUUACCAAGGCAACGAUGCGUAGCCGACCUGAGAGGGUGAUCGGCCACACUGGAACUGAGACACGGUCCAGACUCCUAAGGGAGGCAGCAGUAGGGAAUCUUCCGCAAUGGGCGAAAGCCUGACGGAGCAACGCCGCGUGAGUGAUGAAGGUCUUCGGAUCGUAAAACUCUGUUAUUAGGGAAGAACAAAUGUGUAAGUAACUAUGCACGUCUUGACGGUACCUAAUCAGAAAGCCACGGCUAACUACGUG